UCAAGUGAAGAAGCGCAUACGGUGGAUGCCUUGGCAGUCAGAGGCGAUGAAAGACGUGGUAGCCUGCGAAAAGCUUCGGGGAGUCGGCAAACAGACUUUGAUCCGGAGAUGUCUGAAUGGGGGAACCCAGCCAUCAUAAGAUGGUUAUCUUGUACUGAAUACAUAGGUGCAAGAGGCGAACCAGGGGAACUGAAACAUCUAAGUACCCUGAGGAAAAGAAAUCAACCGAGAUUCCCUUAGUAGUGGCGAGCGAACGGGGACUAGCCCUUAAGUGGCUUUGAGAUUAGCGGAACGCUCUGGAAAGUGCGGCCAUAGUGGGUGAUAGCCCUGUACGCGAAAAUCUCUUGGUCAUGAAAUCGAGUAGGACGGAGCACGAGAAACUUUGUCUGAAUAUGGGGGGACCAUCCUCCAAGGCUAAAUACUACUGACUGACCGAUAGUGAACUAGUACCGUGAGGGAAAGGCGAAAAGAACCCCGGAGAGGGGAGUGAAAUAGAUCCUGAAACCGUAUGCGUACAAGCAGUGGGAGCAGACUUUGUUCUGUGACUGCGUACCUUUUGUAUAAUGGGUCAGCGACUUAUUUUCAGUGGCGAGCUUAACCGAAUAGGGGAGGCGUAGCGAAAGCGAGUCUUAAUAGGGCGUCUAGUCGCUGGGAAUAGACCCGAAACCGGGCGAUCUAUCCAUGGGCAGGUUGAAGGUUGGGUAACACUAACUGGAGGACCGAACCGACUACCGUUGAAAAGUUAGCGGAUGACCUGUGGAUCGGAGUGAAAGGCUAAUCAAGCUCGGAGAUAGCUGGUUCUCCUCGAAAGCUAUUUAGGUAGCGCCUCAUGUAUCACUGUAGGGGGUAGAGCACUGUUUCGGCUAGGGGGUCAUCCCGACUUACCAAACCGAUGCAAACUCCGAAUACCUACAAGUGCCGAGCAUGGGAGACACACGGCGGGUGCUAACGUCCGUCGUGAAAAGGGAAACAACCCAGACCGUCAGCUAAGGUCCCAAAGUUAUGGUUAAGUGGGAAACGAUGUGGGAAGGCUUAGACAGCUAGGAGGUUGGCUUAGAAGCAGCCACCCUUUAAAGAAAGCGUAAUAGCUCACUAGUCGAGUCGGCCUGCGCGGAAGAUGUAACGGGGCUCAAACCAUACACCGAAGCUACGGGUAUCAUCUUAGGAUGAUGCGGUAGAGGAGCGUUCUGUAAGCCUGUGAAGGUGAGUUGAGAAGCUUGCUGGAGGUAUCAGAAGUGCGAAUGCUGACAUGAGUAACGACAAUGGGUGUGAAAAACACCCACGCCGAAAGACCAAGGUUUCCUGCGCAACGUUAAUCGACGCAGGGUUAGUCGGUCCCUAAGGCGAGGCUGAAAAGCGUAGUCGAUGGAAAACAGGUUAAUAUUCCUGUACUUCUGGUUAUUGCGAUGGAGGGACGGAGAAGGCUAGGCCAGCUUGGCGUUGGUUGUCCAAGUUUAAGGUGGUAGGCUGAGAUCUUAGGUAAAUCCGGGAUCUUAAGGCCGAGAGCUGAUGACGAGUUGUCUUUUAGAUGACGAAGUGGUUGAUGCCAUGCUUCCAAGAAAAGCUUCUAAGCUUCAGGUAACCAGGAACCGUACCCCAAACCGACACAGGUGGUUGGGUAGAGAAUACCAAGGCGCUUGAGAGAACUCGGGUGAAGGAACUAGGCAAAAUGGCACCGUAACUUCGGGAGAAGGUGCGCCGGUGAGGGUGAAGGACUUGCUCCGUAAGCUCAUGCCGGUCGAAGAUACCAGGCCGCUGCGACUGUUUAUUAAAAACACAGCACUCUGCAAACACGAAAGUGGACGUAUAGGGUGUGACGCCUGCCCGGUGCCGGAAGGUUAAUUGAUGGGGUUAGCUAACGCGAAGCUCUUGAUCGAAGCCCCGGUAAACGGCGGCCGUAACUAUAACGGUCCUAAGGUAGCGAAAUUCCUUGUCGGGUAAGUUCCGACCUGCACGAAUGGCGUAACGAUGGCGGCGCUGUCUCCACCCGAGACUCAGUGAAAUUGAAAUCGCUGUGAAGAUGCAGUGUAUCCGCGGCUAGACGGAAAGACCCCGUGAACCUUUACUAUAGCUUUGCACUGGACUUUGAAUUUGCUUGUGUAGGAUAGGUGGGAGGCUUUGAAGCGUGGACGCCAGUUCGCGUGGAGCCAUCCUUGAAAUACCACCCUGGCAACUUUGAGGUUCUAACUCAGGUCCGUUAUCCGGAUCGAGGACAGUGUAUGGUGGGUAGUUUGACUGGGGCGGUCUCCUCCUAAAGAGUAACGGAGGAGUACGAAGGUGCGCUCAGACCGGUCGGAAAUCGGUCGUAGAGUAUAAAGGCAAAAGCGCGCUUGACUGCGAGACAGACACGUCGAGCAGGUACGAAAGUAGGUCUUAGUGAUCCGGUGGUUCUGUAUGGAAGGGCCAUCGCUCAACGGAUAAAAGGUACUCCGGGGAUAACAGGCUGAUACCGCCCAAGAGUUCAUAUCGACGGCGGUGUUUGGCACCUCGAUGUCGGCUCAUCACAUCCUGGGGCUGAAGCCGGUCCCAAGGGUAUGGCUGUUCGCCAUUUAAAGUGGUACGCGAGCUGGGUUUAGAACGUCGUGAGACAGUUCGGUCCCUAUCUGCCGUGGACGUUUGAGAUUUGAGAGGGGCUGCUCCUAGUACGAGAGGACCGGAGUGGACGAACCUCUGGUGUUCCGGUUGUCACGCCAGUGGCAUUGCCGGGUAGCUAUGUUCGGGAAAGAUAACCGCUGAAAGCAUCUAAGCGGGAAACUUGCCUCAAGAUGAGAUCUCACUGGAACCUUGAGUUCCCUGAAGGGCCGUCGAAGACUACGACGUUGAUAGGUUGGGUGUGUAAGCGCUGUGAGGCGUUGAGCUAACCAAUACUAAUUGCCCGUGAGUCUUGACCA
Molecule: ribosomal RNA, 2891 nt
Filed under: Pseudomonas sp. Seg1
Lineage: Bacteria; Pseudomonadati; Pseudomonadota; Gammaproteobacteria; Pseudomonadales; Pseudomonadaceae
Description: 23S ribosomal RNA
Rfam family: Bacterial large subunit ribosomal RNA
Source: RNAcentral